ACGGCUACCUUGUCACGACUUCACUCCAGUCACCUGUCCUACCUUCGUUGGCCCCCUCCAAAAGGUUAGGCUACCAACUUCGGGUAUUACAGACUCCCAUAGCGUGACGGGCGGUGUGUACAACACCCGGGAACGUAUUCACCCUGACAUUCUGAUUCAGGAUUACUAGCGAUUCCAGCUUCAUGGAGUCGAGUUGCAGACUCCAAUCCGAACUGAGACCGAUUUUGGAGAUUUGCUCCACCUCGCGGUAUUGCUUCUCUUUGUGUCGGCCAUUGUAGCACGCCUGUAGCCCUAGACGUAAGGGGCAUGAUGAUUUGACGUCAUCCCCACCUUCCUCCGGUUUGUCACCGGCAGUAUCCUUAGAGUUCUCAACUUAAUGUUAGCAACAAAGGAUAAGGGUUGCGCUCGUUAUCGGACUUAACCGAACAUCUCACGACACGAGCUGACGACAACCAUGCACCACCUGUCACCUGGAUAGCCUCCACUAUAUCUCUAUAGCUUUGCCAGGGAUGUCAAGCCUAAGUA
RNAcentral lists this ribosomal RNA (525 nucleotides) under uncultured bacterium. RNAcentral's name for it is "partial 16S ribosomal RNA". The record is from RNAcentral.